GGGGAUAACAGCCGGAAACGGCUGCUAAUACCGCAUAAGCGCACAAAGACCGCAUGGUCUGGUGUGAAAAACUCCGGUGGUAUGAGAUGGGCCCGCGUCUGAUUAGCCAGUUGGCGGGGUAGAGGCCCACCAAAGCGACGAUCAGUAGCCGACCUGAGAGGGUGACCGGCCACAUUGGGACUGAGACACGGCCCAAACUCCUACGGGAGGCAGCAGUGGGGAAUAUUGCACAAUGGGGGAAACCCUGAUGCAGCGACGCCGCGUGAGCGAAGAAGUAUUUCGGUAUGUAAAACUCUAUCAGCAGGGAAGAUAAUGACGGUACCUGACUAAGAAGCACCGGCUAAAUACGUGCCAGCAGCCGCGGUAAUACGUAUGGUGCAAGCGUUAUCCGGAUUUACUGGGUGUAAAGGGAGCGCAGGCGGUACGGCAAGUCUGAUGUGAAAGCCCAGGGCUCAACCCUGGUACUGCAUUGGAAACUGCCGGACUAGAGUGUCGGAGGGGUAAGUGGAAUUCCUAGUGUAGCGGUGAAAUGCGUAGAUAUUAGGAGGAACACCAGUGGCGAAGGCGGCUUACUGGACGAUGACUGACGCUGAGGCUCGAAAGCGUGGGGAGCAAACAGGAUUAGAUACCCUGGUAGUCCACGCCGUAAACGAUGAA
This 657-nucleotide ribosomal RNA is filed under the name uncultured bacterium. RNAcentral's name for it is "bacterial SSU rRNA". It matches the Rfam family "Bacterial small subunit ribosomal RNA", at positions 139 to 813 of the family's 1533-position model. The record is from RNAcentral.